AGAGUUUGAUCAUGGCUCAGAUUGAACGUUGGCGGCAGGCCUCAUACAUGCAAGUCGGACGGUAACAGCGGAGCUUGCUCCGGCUGACGAGUGGCGGACGGGUGAGUAACGCGUAGGAAUCUGCCCAGUAGUGGGGGACAGCCCGAAGAAACUCGGAUUAAUACCGCAUACGCCCUACGGGGGAAAGGGGGCCUUUGGCUCUCGCUAUUGGAGGAGCCUGCGUUGGAUUAGCUAGUUGGUGGGGUAACGGCCCACCAAGGCGACGAUCCAUAGCUGGUCUGAGAGGACGAUCAGCCACACUGGGACUGAGACACGGCCCAGACUCCUACGGGGGGCAGCAGUAAGGAAUCUUGUGCAAUGGGGGAAACCCUGACACAGCCAUGCCGCGUGUGUGAAGAAGGCCUUAGGGUUGUAAAGCACUUUCAGUAGAGACGAAUUAGCGGGGUUAAUAGCCCCGUGAAAUGACUUAACCUACAGAAGAAGAUCCGGCUAACUCCGUGCCAGCAGCCGCGGUAAUACGGAGGGAUCGAACGUUAAUCGGAAUUACUGGGCGUAAAGCGCGCGUAGUGGUUCAUUAAGUGGGAUGUGAAAGCCCUGGGCUUACCCUGGAACUGCAUUCCAAACUGGCGACUAGAGUACGAUAGAGGGGGGGUAGAUUCACAGUGUAGCGUGAAUGCGUAGAUAUGUGAGGGAUACCAGUGGCGAAGCGCCCCUGGAUGAUACUGACACUCAGUGUGCGAAAGCGUGGGGAGCAAACAGGAUUAGAUACCCUGGUAGUCACGCCGUAAACGAUGUCUACUAGCCGUUGGGAGGCUUGUCCUCUUAGUGGCGCAGCUAACGCGAUAAGUAGACCGCCUGGGGAGUACGGUCGCAAGAUUAAAACUCAAAUGAAUUGACGGGGGCCCGCACAAGCGGUGGAGCAUGUGGUUUAAUUCGAUGCAACGCGAAAAACCUUACCAGGCCUUGACAUCCUGAGAACUUUCUAGAGAUAGAUUGGUGCCUUCGGGAACUCAGUGACAGGUGUUGCAUGGCUGUCGUCAGCUCGUGUCGUGAGAUGUUGGGUUAAGUCCCGUAACGAGCGCAACCCUUAUCCUUAGUUGCCAGCACAUAAUGGUGGGAACUUUAAGGAGACUGCCGGUGACAAACCGGAGGAAGGAGAGGAUGAUGUCAAGUCAUCAUGGCCCUUACGGCCUGGGCUACACACGUGCUACAAUGGGGAGUACAGAGGGCCGCAAAGCCGCGAGGUGGAGCAAAUCCCAAAAAACUCUUCGUAGUCCGGAUCGGAGUCUGCAACUCGACUCCGUGAAGUCGGAAUCGCUAGUAAUCGCGAAUCAGCAUGUCGCGGUGAAUACGUUCCCGGGCCUUGUACACACCGCCCGUCACAUCAUGGGAGUGGGCUGCAAAAGAAGUGGCUAGUCUAACCUUCGGGAGGACGGUCACCACUUUGUGGUUCAUGACUGGGAUGAAGUCGUAACAAGGUAACCGUA
This 1487-nucleotide ribosomal RNA is filed under the name uncultured bacterium. Its description in RNAcentral is "partial 16S ribosomal RNA". It matches the Rfam family "Bacterial small subunit ribosomal RNA". The record is from RNAcentral.